AUACAGAGGGAGCAAGCGUUGUUCGGAAUUACUGGGCGUAAAGGGCGCGUAGGCGGUUCAGCAAGUCUUGUGUGAAAUCCCCCGGCUCAACUGGGGAACUGCAUAGGAAACUGCUGGACUUGAGUUCGGGAGAGGGAAGCGGAAUUCCGGGUGUAGCGGUGAAAUGCGUAGAUAUCCGGAGGAACACCGGUGGCGAAGGCGGCUUCCUGGACCGAUACUGACGCUGAGGCGCGAAAGCUAGGGUAGCAAACGGGAUUAGAUACCCCAGUAGUCC
This 274-nucleotide ribosomal RNA is filed under the name uncultured bacterium. RNAcentral's name for it is "partial 16S ribosomal RNA". It matches the Rfam family "Bacterial small subunit ribosomal RNA", at positions 523 to 796 of the family's 1533-position model. The record is from RNAcentral.